This 282-nucleotide long non-coding RNA is filed under the name Coffea arabica (coffee). Its description in RNAcentral is "long non-coding RNA (CARA_LNC005667)". Lineage: Eukaryota; Viridiplantae; Streptophyta; Magnoliopsida; Gentianales; Rubiaceae. The record is from RNAcentral.
GACUGCCCCAUUCAGUUCACUGAACGGUGAAGGGACAAUGCUUAGUUGGCCUUUACCCAUUAGUUGUUUUCAAUGUGAUGUCACGUACUGAUGAGAAAGAUAUGAACAACUGCAAGGUGUGCGAACAUAACUUUUAUCUUUCUUUUAAUUGAAAAUAGUUAUAUUUAUAUUGCAUAGUUAUAUUUUUGUUUUUGCACAAGUGACGUAUUGGAUCAUUUUCUCAUAAUGUACAAUUUGGAUAGUUUGUAAUGUUAUAAGAUAUUUAAUCAAAGGUUAUUUCUU